This 625-nucleotide ribosomal RNA is filed under the name uncultured Gammaproteobacteria bacterium. RNAcentral describes it as "partial 16S ribosomal RNA". The record is from RNAcentral. Lineage: Bacteria; Pseudomonadati; Pseudomonadota; Gammaproteobacteria.
UUGGGAGCGCUCCCAUAUGGUCGACCUGCAGGCGGCCGCGAAUUCACUAGUGAUUCGUAUUACCGCGGCUGCUGGCACAGAGUUAGCCGGUGCUUAUUCUGUCGGUAACGUCAAAACACUAACGUAUUAGGUUAAUGCCCUUCCUCCCAACUUAAAGUGCUUUACAAUCCGAAGACCUUCUUCACACACGCGGCAUGGCUGGAUCAGGCUUUCGCCCAUUGUCCAAUAUUCCCCACUGCUGCCUCCCGUAGGAGUCUGGACCGUGUCUCAGUUCCAGUGUGACUGAUCAUCCUCUCAGACCAGUUACGGAUCGUCGCCUUGGUGAGCCAUUACCCCACCAACUAGCUAAUCCGACCUAGGCUCAUCUGAUAGCGCAAGGCCCGAAGGUCCCCUGCUUUCUCCCGUAGGACGUAUGCGGUAUUAGCGUCCGUUUCCGAGCGUUAUCCCCCACUACCAGGCAGAUUCCUAGGCAUUACUCACCCGUCCGCCGCUCUCAAGAGGCGCAAGCACCUCUCUACCGCUCGACUUGCAUGUGUUAGGCCUCCCCCCAGCGUUCAAUCUGAGCCAUGAUCAAACUCUAAUCGAAUUCCCGCGGCCGCCAUGGCGGCCGGGAGCAUGCGACGUC